CCUAGGCUAGGGCACAUUUACUUAUUCUUAGAAAUCUUGUCUCAUGCUACCCUAGUACUGACAGAUUCAGAUAAUUUAAACAUUCAAUAUUAAUAUCACCACAAACUCAAGAUAAGCAGAUGAUCCUGAAGAAGCUUUGACUGUGCGUAUGGUACCUCAGACGUGAGGGCGGCAGGGUAAGGAGUAUGUUUGUUUCUCUUUAGUUUCACGAGGUCCCCUUUUGGGGUAUUCGACUUUCCAUCGAUGGCAGGUGGUCAGGCAUUAUUAUGGCCAUCAAAACACCCACUUGUUGAUAUUUAUUUAUUUAUUUAUUUUCAACAAGUAUCUUUGUUCUCUAAGAAUGGAGUUUCAAAAAGGGUUGUCAAGAUCAACAAAUGUUACUUCACAUGAUGCAGAGGUAGGCUUGAUUCUGGAAUGAUGAACCCACGGGGUGAUCUCUGUAACUUUCACGGUGCACUACUCAGCAUGUGGUCUUGGUUAUCACUUUGGUGGCUGGAUAGGCCUCUGGCCAUCCUGAAAACAUGUCUGCUAUAAUUAGUGCAUAUUUGAAUCAGCCAUUCUUUGGCAUUCUGGCGACUUGACUCCUCUGGAAGAG
Non-coding RNA from Pelobates cultripes (western spadefoot toad), 595 nucleotides. Lineage: Eukaryota; Metazoa; Chordata; Amphibia; Anura; Pelobatidae. The record is from the annotation of a GenBank genome assembly.